UUGAGUUCAAGAAGUACGUGAAACCGUCUGGGAGUAAACGGGUGGUUCCCGAAAGUGCGAAAGGGGAGAUUCAGGUCUCGCCGCGCGUCGGGCCGCGCCCGCGACCAGGGAUGGCGAGUUCGCGGCCGCGGGGCGACCCGCGGUCCGGGAGGGCGACCCGCGGUCCGGGAGCGCCACCCCGCGGGCGCGGUCUGUCCCGGCGCCGGAGUGACGCACUUCUCCCCCGGUAGAACGUCGCGAUCCGUCGGCCGCCGGCCUAAGGUCCCGGGUGGAGUCUGCGCGGACUUGAUAUCCGCGCACGACCCCGGGUCUCCCGGCCGGGUGCCCGACGGUACGAAGAGAUGAAGGAGCAGGCGCGCCUCUUUCGAGCAGGCGUCCGCCCCUCCGCAAGCGCCCGCGGGAGAGGGAGUUCCCGGGCCCGGCCCGGACUCCUCCUCCUGCGGGGCUGUUUGCGAUCAGGAGAUGCGCUCGGAC
Molecule: ribosomal RNA, 474 nt
Filed under: Tetrathemis polleni
Lineage: Eukaryota; Metazoa; Arthropoda; Insecta; Odonata; Libellulidae
Description: partial 28S ribosomal RNA
Source: RNAcentral